CCCCUAGAUGUUCUGGGCCGCACGCGCGCUACAAUGGUCUUCGCAAACGGAUGCAUUCUCGAAGGAGAAUGCCAAUCUUGGAAUCUAUGCCUUGGUCGGGACAGUUGCUUGCAAUUUUUCGACUCGAACCAGGAAUUCCUUGUAAUCGUGAUUCAUCACAUCACGAUGAAUACGUCCCUGCCCUUUGUACACACCGCCCGUCGCUCCUACCGAUCGAAGAGUUAGGUGAAUUGUUUUGAUCGAUAAGAUUUGACUAUGGUCAACUCUCGUUGUGAAAUUCUGUGAAUCUGACUGUUUAGAGGAAGGAAAAGUCGUAACA
RNAcentral lists this ribosomal RNA (319 nucleotides) under uncultured eukaryote. RNAcentral's name for it is "partial 18S ribosomal RNA". It matches the Rfam family "Eukaryotic small subunit ribosomal RNA", at positions 1470 to 1796 of the family's 1831-position model. The record is from RNAcentral.